ACCCCGCAUGCGCCUUUAAAUAGCUCCUCACCGGCGGAAUACAGUUAUCGCCAGAAGCCGGGGAUAACGCAGGAAAAAACAUGUGAGCGAAAAGCCAGCAGAAGGCCAGGAACCGUAAAAAGGCCGCGUUGCUGGCGUUUUUCCAUAGGCUCCGCCCCCCUGACGAGCAUCACAAAAAUCGACGCUCAAGUCAGAGGUGGCGAAACCCGACAGGACUAUAAAGAUACCGGGAGUUUCCCCCUGGAAGCUCCCUCGUGCGCUCUCCUGUUCCGACCCUGCCGCUUACCGGAUACCUGUCCGCCUUUCUCCCUUCGGGAAGCG
This 321-nucleotide ribosomal RNA is filed under the name uncultured bacterium. RNAcentral's name for it is "partial 16S ribosomal RNA". The record is from RNAcentral.